UGUGCUUGUAGUCCCAGCUACUCGGGAUGCUGAGGUGGGAGGAUCGCUUGAGCCCAGGAGUUCUGGGCUGUAGUGCGCUAUGCCGAUCGGGUGUCCGCACUAAGUUCGGCAUCAAUAUGGUGACCUCCCGGGAGCGGGGGACCACCAGGUUGCCUAAGGAGGGGUGAACCGGCCCAGGUCGGAAACGGAGCAGGUCAAAACUCCCGUGCUGAUCAGUAGUGGGAUCGCGCCUGUGAAUAGCCACUGCACUCCAGCCUGAGCAACAUAGCGAGACCCCGUUCGGGAGGCUGAGGCUGGAGGAUCCCUUGAGUUCAGGAGUUCUGGGCUGUAGUGCGCUAUGCCGAUCGGGUGUCCGCACUGAGUUCGGCAUCAAUAUGGUGACCUCCCGGGAGCGGGGGACCACCAGGUUGCCUAAGGAGGGGUGAACCGGCCCAGGUCGGAAACGGAGCAGGUCAAAACUCCCGUGCUGAUCAGUAGUGGGAUUGCGCCUGUGAAUAGCCACUGCACUCCAGCCUGGGCAACAUAGUGAGACCCUG
Molecule: long non-coding RNA, 536 nt
Filed under: Homo sapiens (human)
Lineage: Eukaryota; Metazoa; Chordata; Mammalia; Primates; Hominidae
Description: LHRI_LNC2063.6
Rfam family: Metazoan signal recognition particle RNA (bases 1-280)
About the family: The signal recognition particle (SRP) is a universally conserved ribonucleoprotein. It is involved in the co-translational targeting of proteins to membranes.
Source: RNAcentral